RNAcentral lists this long non-coding RNA (283 nucleotides) under Helianthus annuus (common sunflower). RNAcentral's name for it is "sRNA HanXRQr2_Chr07g0286351". Lineage: Eukaryota; Viridiplantae; Streptophyta; Magnoliopsida; Asterales; Asteraceae. The record is from RNAcentral.
UUCUCUCAAACACCCCUUGGUUCACGGCAGCCAAAGUCCCCAUUCAACACACCUUCAAGCUUCAAUUAACACUCCAUUUUACACUAAAUUAAACCUUACAAGAUCAUCUAAACAUGGAGUAUACAUGAAGAACCAUUAGGAGCUUUCUUGGGGGCUUAUCUUUCCUCUAAUCUUCUUAUUUAGCUUGUACACUUUCUUAAAGUGUAUAAUUAUGAUGAUCUUGUUGUCGUUGCGCAACAGUUGGAUAUUUGGAUUACUUGGUAUUGUGACGCACUCACUGUGA